AUUGAACGCUGGCGGCAUGCCUUACACAUGCAAGUCGAACGGCAGCACGGGUGCUUGCACCUGGUGGCGAGUGGCGAACGGGUGAGUAAUACAUCGGAACAUGUCCUGUAGUGGGGGAUAGCCCGGCGAAAGCCGGAUUAAUACCGCAUACGAUCCACGGAUGAAAGCGGGGGACCUUCGGGCCUCGCGCUAUAGGGUUGGCCGAUGGCUGAUUAGCUAGUUGGUGGGGUAAAGGCCUACCAAGGCGACGAUCAGUAGCUGGUCUGAGGGGACGACCAGCCACACUGGGACUGAGACACGGCCCAGACUCCUACGGGAGGCAGCAGUGGGGAAUGUUGGACAAUGGGCGAAAGCCUGAUCCAGCAAUGCCGCGUGUGUGAAGAAGGCCUUCGGGUUGUAAAGCACUUUUGCCCGGAAAGAAAUCCUUGACUCUAAUACAGUCGGGGGAUGACGGUACCGGAAGAAUAAGCACCGGCUAACUACGUG
RNAcentral lists this ribosomal RNA (486 nucleotides) under uncultured bacterium. RNAcentral describes it as "partial 16S ribosomal RNA". It matches the Rfam family "Bacterial small subunit ribosomal RNA", at positions 30 to 507 of the family's 1533-position model. The record is from RNAcentral.